AACGAACGCUGGCGGCAGGCUUAACACAUGCAAGUCGAACGCCACCUUCGGGUGGAGUGGCAGACGGGUGAGUAACGCGUGGAAACAUACCUUUGCUUCGGCAUAUUCCCGGGAAACUGGGAGCAAUACCGAAUGUGCCCUGAGGGGGAAAGGUUUAGCGGCAAAAGAUUGGUCCGCGUUAGAUUAGGUAGUUGGUAGGGUAAAGGCCUACCAAGCCUACGAUCUAUAGCUGGUCUGAGAGGAUGAUCAGCCACAUUGGGACUGAGACACGGCCCAAACUCCUACGGGAGGCAGCAGUGGGGAAUAUUGGACAAUGGGCGCAAGCCUGAUCCAGCCAUGCCGCGUGAAUGAUGAAGGCCUUAGGGUUGUAAAAUUCUUUCACCGGGGACGAUAAUGACGGUACCCGGAGAAGAAGCCCCGGCUAACUUCGUGCCAGCAGCCGCAGUAA
RNAcentral lists this ribosomal RNA (448 nucleotides) under uncultured bacterium. RNAcentral describes it as "partial 16S ribosomal RNA". It matches the Rfam family "Bacterial small subunit ribosomal RNA", at positions 29 to 523 of the family's 1533-position model. The record is from RNAcentral.